AUCCAUAAAUCGUACUUUGGAAAUUUAUAUUCAUUAAAUACAAGUUUUAAAAAAUAUAUUUAUUUAUUUAUUUGAAGGCCAGAGUUAAGAGAGGCUGAGGCAGAGAGAGAGAGAGCGAGGUCUUCCAUCCUCUGGUUCACUCCCCAGAUGGCCUCAAUGGCUGGAACUGGACUGGAAUUGGACCAAUCUGAAGCCAGAAGCUAGGAGCUUCUUCCAGGUCUCCCACACUGGUCCAGGGCCAAGGACUUGAGUCAUCCCCUACUACUUUCCCAGGCCAUAGCAGAGAGCUGGAUAGAAUGUGGAGCAGCCAGGUCUGGAACCAGCAUAUGGGAUGCCAACGCUGCUUUACCCACUACACCACAGUGCCAGCCCCAACAAGGCAGGUUUUUAAAUUUAAAAAAAAACAAAUGUCUGCCCCAUAAUUUAUUUGGAAACAAUUGCUAUUUCCCCCUGCAUAUCAAUUUAUCCUUACUUUGCCUUUCAAUUCCUCUAUUCCCGGUAUUUUUGCAUGUCCCCUCCAUGUACUUUUACCUAAUUUUCUUCCUAAAAAUUAGCUAUUCCUUCUUUUCUUAUUCUACUACGACCAUAUUGCCCACUAUCAGGUUGUGUAUGUCUUGCUUUGAUUCAGUUAUCUCACUCAGAGGUUUAACAAAUGUUUUGUCUUAACAUAGGGUAUGGGCCUGGAGUGGGGAAUAUUAGAUCCAUGGUCUUACAGAGUAUUUAAUUUACUAAGGAAACAGUUAAAGAUCAAGGACAGUAAGAAGUCACCCUUCUUAAAAGACAAAGCAGUUUGGAUACUAACAAAGAAAAUGGGAGUGGAAAGUAGAGGAUUCUCCCACUUCCUUGAGGAGAUGGUGCGUGAGUUGAGUUCUGAAAAAUGGCUUAAUAUUCCCCUGAGGAACAGAGGGUGAUUUAAACCAAGGGGCAUUAAUUGAAGCAUGAGUUCAUGUGGAAAGCAGGUUGGCAGCAUUUUGCACAUAGCUAUGAUCAAACAAAAUAUUUUCAAAGAACGAGAAAAAACUUCUCAAAAAACAUUUUUAAAGGGAAAGCUCAGAUGUGCUGUACCAAGUGUUUGAUUUAGUAGGCAAUUCUGCCUUUUUGUGUUAAUCACUUAGUGUCUUCUUCAGAAAGGGGGUAUGAACAUUUGAUAAAAUAUAUUCCUUAAAUCUGUUGACUACUUGAUGAACGGUAGGUACUCCAGAUACUGACACACAUAGAAUAUUUUAAACUUUGGCGUGACUGAAUUCAAAACUAAAAGUCAAUCUUUGCUGAGUUGAAAUAUUUUUAUUUGAACUUACAAGUUAGUUUUCACCAGUUGGCAUUUCAUAACAGUUGAGGAAAUGUUUCAUAGUUCAAAAUUAAGAUGUAGUCUGUCCAAAUAGGGACAUCAAAAUAGUACAUUAAAAAUAGGGAUUGGGACCAGAGUCGUGGUGCAGUGGGUUAAGCUACCACUGGUGAUGCUGGCAGCUCAUAUGAGUGCCAGUUCUAGUCUUGGCUGUUCCAUUUGCAAUCUAGCUCUCUGUUAAUGUGCCUGGGCAAAGCAGAGGACAGCAGUUGGAGUUUUUGGGCCCCUGCCAACCAUGUGAAAAACAUAGAUCAAGUUCCAGACUCCUGGCUUCGGCCUGGUCCAGCCCUGGCCAUUGUGGCCAUUUGGAGGGUGAAUCAACAGAUGAAAGAUCUCUGUCUCACCCUCUCUCUGUCUGUCUCUGCCACUUCCAUCUCCUGCCCCAUAGCUCUGCUUUCAAAUAAAUCAUUAAAAAAAAGUAGGAAUUGAGUCAGACAUUUGGCAUAGUGAUUAAGACCUGCUUGGGAUGGAGGGAAUAGGUUUGGAAGUCCUGGCUCUGCUUCUGAUCCAGAUUCCUGCUAAAAAACACUCAUGUGCGUUGCCUGCCACUCAUGUAGGACACCUGAAUGAAGUUCUGGAUGCUUGACUUCAACCUGGGCUACCCCUGGCCACAGGCACUUAAGAAGUGAACCCAGCAAUGAAAGAGCUCUGAAUGUCUCUGGCUCUGUUUUCCUCUCUGCUGUGCAACAAAUUAAAAAAAAAAAAAGUUAAAAUAGGAAUAAUACACAGAAAGCAAAGUAGGUAAUGUUUCUUUAAAUUGUUAAAAGGGAAUAAAUGGGAAAAUGAAUGAAGUCUUGUUGCAUUUUUUUUUUCUCUUGUUCACUCCAUUAUUCUGUGAACUACAUUAAACUUUGUCCCCCAAGUGACCUUGAAUAUUUAACCACCUGCUCAAUUGGAUCGGGCAACAGACAGACUGCAAAGCUGCAAGCAUAAGACCUAACAAGAGUAUGCUUCUCCCAUAAGUAAAGUUUAGCACUCAGACUAGGGGGAUGCGGGAAUUGUUCAGCUGCUUGCAAAGAUGCCUGGUACUAAAAACUCACAGAAGCGCUUCUGAAGUAGCUAAGUUUUUAAAGCCUGAGCCUUGACAAUAUUUAAGCAGGAUCAUGUAACAUGAGAUUUAGAAUAUUGGUCUCUCUGUGGAAUUAAUUUUUCAAAAAAGACUAUAUAAGAGUUAUAUGGGGACUAUUUUGCAAUUUGUGAGGCACUGAUUUCCCUGUAUAUUUGCUAAAGUAUUAACCUGAGAAUUAUUCAGAAAGCUAAUGGAAUAUGAAAUUUUAAGUUUAUUUUGGUGCAAAAAUAUUUGGUGCAGGCAUUUGUGGGGUCUUCACAUAGUUCUUGGAAAGAACUAUGCACGGAUUUCAAAUACAUUUGCACCAAAAUAUACUUUUAAAUCCAUUUUCCAUGAACAUUUUGAAGUAUCCUCAUAGAUUCCACUGGAAAAAUGAUGGAAAAGAUGUGUACACACACAUACACACAUCUCCAAGUAUAUAAAGAAGCAGUUAUUAAAAGUACUUUUUAAAGCACAUUUGUAAGUGGACUUUGAUAAUUUCCUUAAAUGAUUUUACACUUAAAGCCGACUAACCUUGUGACAUUUAUCUGUUGAUUUAAAAAUGCAUGUAACCCGCAAUUUUGUUUGUAUAGUUUAAUUGGUUCUUGAAAGGUUAAUAAUUAAAGCACUAUAGUUCAUCUUAUAAAGACAUGUUUUUCUGAUAUAUCCAAAACAGUUUCAUAGAACAGCAGAUAUUAACUUUUGUUGUCUUAUGAAAGUAACAGCAUUAGUCAGACACAUUUAGGGAAGAAAUGCAGUUUUUUUUUUUACAAGAUGUAUGCCUCACUUCUUAGGAACUGUCUUGCCAAUAAAAUCACAGGAAAAUAGCUGCUACAUUAUCUAAAUUAAUAAAUUUACGCUGUUCUGUGAAUGGUGGGUAAUAAAAUUUCUUGUAAAAUUAUUGCAUUGCAAAGUCAGGGUUAAAAUUGGCUUUGAUUAGGAAUUCAGGCUUGAAAAGUAUCCUCAAAGUGUCAUUUGUUUGGAAUAUUAGGACAGAAUGGGUUUAUCUCAGAACUGAUUAGGUGUUGCAACUGUUGUCAUUGUUGUUGUUUUGUUUUCUGGUUUCCUGGCUUGGAAGGUGAUAUACAGACUCACAGUGGAAGAGAGUACAUGUCAGUUUUGCUUACACAAUACACAGACCAAUGAUUACAUGCCUUUUCCCUGUCUAUAAAUUUAUGACUUUAAAAAACAAUCACUGCUUUCGCUAAUGAAUAAAUGGCCAUAACAAAUCCAAGUUCACUUUUUAAAUACUUUAAUAUUCUCUGGAUCUAUUACAUAAAUGUUUUUAUGAUUAUUAAUACCCUUGGAUUUUCUUCCUCAAAUAUACACAAUGCUAUGCUGUUGUUCAUAGAAGCAUGCUAGGAUUCUAUCAUCAUUGUAAUACGAGUAAGUCCUUAUUUAGACAUUUCUCAAGGCAUUCCACUGUUAUCUUUCUUUUUUUUUUUUUUUGAGACAUAUAAGUUCCUAAAAGUGUAUUUAUCCCUAUAUGUGACCUAUGUGUGAUGAACGUAUUCACUUGACCUCAGUAGAUUGAGAACUAACUUUUAUGGCAUCUAUUAAAUGAUUCGGUGCAUGUAUUAUUUUGUUCUGGGCAAUAAUAUUUGGGUGUUUUUUUGUCUUUUUAUGCCUUAAAAAUUGCAGAGAAUAGGCAUAUCUCAUUGACUAGAACUUGAAAGCUGAAGCUUCCCAUAGGGAAGUGGAAGUCAGUGGCUUUCAUAACUGAAAGGCACGCAGCAGGACUGCCUUCUAUUAGGACACUUCACUGAAGAAUCACAGCUAGGCAAUCUCCCCCUUCUGAAUAGCAAUGCAGGAAAUUUCAUGAAAAUGACAAUUGUGCUAUGAUUUUCAUGUUUACCCUCAUCUUCGUUCUUUCUUCUUCUACUUUAUCCCUACCCUGUGUUCACAUGUAGACACACAGUACCUUAGAACUUCAGAGACGCAAUCCUGUGUUUCAUUUUUCAGCUUAAUGAAUUCCAUAUGGUUUCUUUGCAUUCAAGUAUUUUCCUAUUUGUUGGUUUACUUUCUGGGUUUUACAAUGUGUGUUAUUUUUUAUCAUAGUGACUCAUUAUUAAGGACUUUUUUCACUGCUUUGCUCUUUUUUCUCUUUAGAUUUUAUUUCUGAAGUGCCACUUAUUUCAAAUUUUCUUUGGUUAUAUAGGAUUGCCAUAUAUAUUGAUCUACCUACCAAUGCUAAAAGCAUAUUCAUUGCAUUUCUUAUUUUUCCUCCUUUCCCUCAAUCUUUGUUUUAAAGUCUUUAGUUCCAAAAUCAAUGCACUUUAAAUAAGUGAAGGAUUAGAUAAUCAUUUGUCUUUGCUUUAUAAUGAAAAUUUGACUAUUUGAAUUAUACAAUAAAAUGCAAAAUUUCAAAGAAAAGUGAGAAUUUACCUUUCAAUUUCAUGAAAUGUUAGAUGACUAAUGGCUUUGAGGGAUACAAUUAUACAUAUCUAAAUAUGCACAUUUUUCUAAUUUAAAUACAAUUAUAAAUGCUAUACAUUACAUGUCCAAAUGAUAUUUUGGGGGUUAAUGAUUAAUCAGGACUAAAACAGAAUACUAGAGUUUGGUAAACUAAUUUUUUAGAUAUAACUUAUAACUAUUUUUAUCAAGCUAAAUGUCAUAAUAAAUUAUUUUCUUUUAUCUUUGAGGGAAAGACAUAAUGAGGCAUUGGACUGUAUUAGAGUGUCAAAAUCAGCAAAUAUUUAGAAAAUACUCACUUCAUAUAAGAAAUUCUAGAAAAUUGUGAUUCAUAUGUCAAAAUACAAUCUAUCAAAUUAAAAUACUGCCUAUUCCAGAGGUAAGGAAAGAAAUGUAAGUUAGUGUGUUUGCAUGCAUGUGGGUGUUUUAAAUGUAUGUGUUAUUGUAUAAAGAAUAUCUAAUAACCCAUAAAAGAAGGAGGUACCUUUCUCUGAAGGGAGGAGAGAACUUCCACUUCGACUGUGGCCUUGUCUAAACAAGAUUGGAGUUGGCGAACUCAAGAGGCUUCCAUAGCCUUGGCAACUCAUGACAAGAGCCUUGGGUGAUUACUGACGUUAUAAAUAGAAUGUCAAUUGUUAAAUCAACAACAGGAAUCACUGUGCACUUACUCCCCAUGUAGGAUCUCUGUCCUUAAUGUGUUGUACUAUGUGAAUUAACGGUAUAACUAGUACUCAAACAGUACUUUACACUUUGUGUUUCUGUGUGGGUACAAACUGUUGAAAUCUUUACUUAGUAUAAACUAAAUUGAUCUUUUGUAUAUAAAGAUAAUUAAAAAUGAAUCUUGAUGUGAAUGGGAUAGGAGAAGGAGUGGGAGACGGGAUGGUUGCAGGUGGGAGGGUAGUUAUGGGGGGAAAAAUCCGCUAUAAUCCAAAAGUUGUACUUUGGAAAUUUAUAUUUAUUAAAUAAAAGUUAAAAAAAUAUUUAAUCUAGGCAGUGUGAGUAGACAAAGCUCUUUCUUUUGCUAGGGUCAGAAAGGAAUACAAUGACUUUAUGCAAAGCUUUUACUUGGGAAAAAUCCAAGGGUCUGGUGUGGUUGAAGCAGAAUGAAGGAGAGGAGGAAAGGUUGGACCAGAUCUUUAUGUUUUCCGUCUUCUUUGAACUCAUCUAGAUGACUGCUUCCUGAGUUGUAUCUUUUUUGUAACAUAAACAGGAAUUUAGUUAUUGUAAUUUAAAACGUGAGAGUCAAACCUCAAUUUAGGCUCACAUAUAAAGACUGUUAUCAAUUGAAUAGACUUUUAAACACUAUUUUGAGUUAAAUAGUUCAUUCCAAGUAAUAUUGCUGGACCACAUUUUAUUUAAAAUGAUUUGUCAGUCACAAUUUGAGUAGAUAUUAUGCUAAUACUCAGCAGUUGCCUAUAUAGUUGGUGAGGCAGAUAUAUGAUCAAUUUCAACAGAUUAUUGUUAAAGCAAGUAAAAGAGGUAGCUAGAGAAGAAAGUUCCAGUAUCUCGAUGUUCUGUGGCUUCUUCCUGUGUGGCUAGUGAAUUGUUCAGUCACUAUGGGGGAAUGGCGAAGAGCAUCCAGAAAGCUUUGAGGGAAAAAAAAACACUAUGGGCUGCAAAGGAAGAAGAGCACCUCUAACAAAUAGAGAAACAAUAGGUUAGCCUGUGGGCAGAGCUUCAGGAAAGAGCAGGAGGUCAGGGAGCUAGUUCAGGGCCAGUCAAUGCCAAACCUCCAGGCCUGUGAAGGAUUCUGGCCUUGUGACCAAUAGAACACAGUGCAAGAUUUUAAUCAGAGGUAUGAGGAGUGCUGCAUUUUGAAAGACACAUAACUUGCAAGUUCCUGACUUUCUAUAGAUUCCAAGGUAUGGGAAAAGAGAAUCAGAAACAUGAUACUCAUUCACAGGGCACAUUUGGAAGUUAUUGCACAUACAUAAAAACAUAGUACAACUUGGAAAGUUCAAGUGCUAUACCUUUUCUGUUAUUUUCAAUUUUCUAUUAGUCUUUGCUUUAUAAUUAUAUACCUGCAAUAUCAAUUCCUAUUUUAUAAGGAAAUGGAGCCCUUAGUGGCUGAAAGUAUCUAUUUAUAAAUAUAAAUUUAAGUGAAAAUAUUGCAAAUUUUUUGAAUGACUUCUUCAAGAUUAAAAAUUGCAAUGUGUCGGCCGGUGCCAUGGCUCAGUAGGCUAAUCCUCUGCCUGCGGCGCCAGUACCCUGGGUUCUAGUCCCGGUUGGGGUCCCGGAUUCUGUCCCGGUUGUUUCUCUUCCAGUCCAGCUCUCUGCUGUGGCCCAAGAAGGCAGUGGAGGAUGGCCCAGGUUCUUAGACCCUACACCCGUAUGAGAGACCAGGAGGAAGCACCUGGCUCCUGGCUUCAGAUCGAUGCAGCGCGCCGGUUGUGGCAGCGUAUUGUGAGGUGAACCAAUGGAAGGAAGAUCUUGCUCUCUCUCUCUCUCUCUCUCUCACUAUCUAACUCUGCCUGGCAAUAAAUAAAUAAAUAAAUAAAUAAUUCAAUGUUGACAAGAUAUAGGAAUCAAAUGAUUUGUGAUAUAACCAACUUUCCACUCAGUGCUUGUAUAAAGAUAAAGGGAGUACUUAUCACCAGUUCUUGUAUGAUUAACAAAGCUAAUGGAAGAAGAGUUUUUAUGGUAUGUUUUAUAUUUACAUUGAAAUCACUUAAUUUUUUAUUUCAUUAAUUUAAUAUUCCAUUAUUUGUAUAGAUAGUUCAGAAAAAAAUCUUAAAAGUAGCAAGGAACAAGUAACUAGGCAUAGUUUUGAAUAUGGUUUGUCAACACUUUCCAUCACACUCAGUAGCAUGUUACAGAAUUACAGCCAAACUCAGAAAACAUGUGAGUUGCAGAAACUCCAAAUAUUAACUGUAAAACAAGAAAAAAAAUUAGUACCUGUCUCCUGACAUAUUUUUGCACAUAUGCUCCUUCUACCUAAUUGUCACCAAAAUGUUUUCACUAGAAUCAUUCUUUGGAGUUAGACCAUCCCCCAAAAUAAGCUAAUUAAACUUUAUUAUUGAUUGUAAAUUAUAAGCUAGUGUUUCAAAUACCUAGUGUUCUCUUUAAUUACUACAGCCAUCUUAUUAGUGAGCAAUCAUCUUCAACAUUUUUCAAAUGGGAAACUAUCUGCAAUAUCACAUUCUGAUAAGUGGCAAGACAGAACUUUAACAUUGUCUGUCUUACUCUCAAAUCCUUCAUCUACAUCCACCUACAUUUCCAAGAAUCACAUUAAAAUAGACUCAUAUUUCAGAGCCUGAAAAGCAAGGAUUAUAGGAAACUGCCAUGUCUUCUUCUCCAAGGGCUCCUAUUUGUCAAUGGCCAAAACAUUCAGCACAGAGUGUGUCAUUUAAAGUGAUUAACUACUGAGCAACUAAAAUGGGGUUUUAAGGGAAUGAGUCACAUUGGGGAACACCAGUAAGAGACCAAGAGUCAAGGAGAGACUUGAAGUUGUACCAUCAAAUUGGGAAAAAGAAUCGCAGCUUAACAUGGACUCACACAUAUUUCUCUGACUUCACAGUGUAUUCUAUUACCAGACUUUGCAUUAUUCAAAGGUAUUUGCAUAAGAUACUACAGAUCAAGCUAUCUCAGCCUACACGCUGUUGGCAUUUGAGCAGAAUUAUUCUUUGUCAAAAGAGACUGGCCCAUGCCUCGAUAAUGCUUACAGAAUCUCUUGCCUUUAACCACUACAUGCCAACAGUGUCUCUUCCUCUAAGUUUGACAACCAAAAAUGCCUACAAUUGUACACAAACGUCCCCUGGGCAGCAAAAUCACCAGAGGGUAAGAACCAGAGGGUAACAACUAUUCUGAGGAAUACUUUGUGGAAGUACAUAUUGAAGAAUUUUCUGGCCAAGCUAAGUCUAGGCUUAUUAAUAGUAUAGUAUCAUAUCAAUCCUUUCUAAAGUGAUAAUAUAACUCAGAACCAGUGAAAAGAUUUCAAGUAGUUUGUGAACUCAGAGGUUAGUGAAAUGAAGAGAAGCAAAGUAAGCAAAUUGUCUAAGAGUGCCACUGGUAGACGUGAGUGGGAUCAAUAUGAACUCUGUGAGCUGACUAUACAUUUUUAUGAGUGUAAUCAUUUCUGGAAAUCAUUUGGUAUCAUGCAUUAGACUAACCAAUUUAAAGAAUGAUUGGCCAAAGGAAAGAAAUUGCAUAGCCAAUAAAAUUGAUAACAAAUUUGAGAGAAAUCGAGUACUAACCUUAGAAAAGCUGUUUAUGUGUACUAUCCGUGAGAAAUAUUCAUUCUGAAGAUAUAUUCACAGCAUGCCAUUAAGUUAAUUGUAAAUUAAGAGUAUAAUAUAUGUCUGGUACAGAAAUGGAUAACUUAGGGACUCACAGGCUAUUUUAGUGCCUGGUUAACCAAACAUUGAUUUCUAUGAAAAAUCGAAUCUGCAAAUAGGAAAGAGCUUGAAAGUAGGCUGCACUUAAGGUGAAAUUGUGCAAAAUUAACGUAGGCUAGCAGUUGGCCAUUUCUGGAACAUCUUAUAAUGUGGCAAUUGUUUUGUAUAAACUCAAACAAAUAUAAAUCAUUGUCUCAAGACUCCUAAGGGACCUGGCACAAUCUUUCCACAGGGACAUCUUCUUUUACAGCCUCAUUACACUUGCCAGUGAUUCAUGGGUGUUAGGCUUGACUGAGUAGGGUGGAAGGGGCUAAGGAACUCAGUAUGCUAUAUUUCAACCAUGCAAAUGAGCAUAUUUCCCUGAGACUAAACAGCAGCAUUUCUAAAAGAAUUAGAUUCAUCUCUGUCUAUUCCUAUUAUUCUCUUGUUGAGAUUUGCAAAGUAAUCUGAGUCCAUGAGAAAAAAUUCUCAGUAUAGCAUGUUUAGCAUAGCAUUGCAUCUUAAAUGCUGGACAGAGCAGUUUUAAGGAUUAUCAAGAAAGACUCUGAUGGGGGUGAAUAUAGGGAUCACAAGGGGCAAGAGCAAUGUGUAUGAAAUGGAACUGAAUUCAGGACAAAAUCUAUUGAACUUCAGCUAUGCCAAAUAUGUUCUAUAGCACUCUCUGGGCCAAGUUGUGAGCCAGAGAAAGAAAUUCUUCAUUCUGGGACAGAGUGAGAUCUGGCACACUCUUGACAAAACACUGGUUACAAAGCCCUCUGUACUUAGAUCAGUACCACCAAUGCUUUCCUUGAUUACCUUUAAUCCAGGGCAGUGGGGACAAACGUUUUACAUAAGGAGAAGGAGAGAAAGGGGAGACUAAACACUCACCUCCCUUGAUACACCUAAGCAAAUUGAGAACACAAUGUUUUAUUUAACUCAGUGCCUGUUGCAUUGUCCACCAUGCUUUGUGCAUUGAAAAUCCUGCAAAAAAAAAAUAAAUAAAAUAAAAUAAAUAAACAAAAAAUACAAUUACUCAAGUUCUGUAAAACUGAAAUUUUCCUUUAAUGGUUAGCUAACUAAAUUGCUAUAUUUAACCAUAAGUUGUACUCUGUCAGGCAGAUUAUUUAGGCUUUUUUAGGAAACCAUAUUCCCAAGUCUUCAGUAUUUCCAUUCAGACAUUUGUAUCUAGGUGUUCUAACAGUUGACAAUUAUGUUGUAUGAAAUUAAGCCAAAAACUAUAAAAACUUACACACAUAAAGCAUAAAUAGGAAAAAUUUGUCUAUUUUUAGAAAUGUAAAACAGAAAUUCUCUAAGUUGCUAGACUACAAGUGGUUUCAAUAAAUUAAGCAGAUUAAGUAUUACAGAUUAUUACUAGAAAUAGCAUUGAAAACCAUGAGCAAGCGGAACAUAAAAAGCUUAUGUGUAUUUCUGACAUGGCUUUCAAAUUUUAAUACUAAGCACUCAUGUACUGUCAUUACAGGAAAUGUGAAAUAAGUUAAAAAUAUAUAGUUCAUUUAUUAUAUCAGAAAGUACUGUUUCAGACAAUAUCUAUUCAAAAUAUAGCUGUAGACGUAGAUAUAUGUAAAAAAUAAAAAUCCGAUAUCCAUAAAUCAAAUUUAUUUUCAGGUUGGAUUUUAAUUUCUGAUCUUUGGAUUUAUAUAUCUAACUACUAGUUGGUUAUCACAACUUCUAUAGUAUAGGAUAGUUGAAACUUUAAUACAACAAAAAUUGACUUAAUCAUAUUUCCUUCUAACUUAGUGGCUCCUUGGUAAAACCAUUUAGAAUAAGCAAAAUAUGUCUCCCUUCCUCUCACAAACUGAAUUAAUUAAAUUAAUCCCUGGUCUGAUGAUUUUUGCAUUCUAUUUUCUUAACUAUCAAGAUCCAAUUCUCUACACCAUUAUUGCCAUAGCCCUUGUCUGGAUUCUCAUUACAUUUUAUUGGAGGAUUGCAGAAGUACUUCUCAAUCCUGGAUUUGUUCCCCUCAAUAACUCAAUACCUCUACCUCUUGUAGACCUCACUGCUGCAAAGUAGCUACAGCUAAUCAUCUGCAGUAUGGCACCCUUAGAAUUCAUUGUCUUUGUUCACGCUGCCACCUGCAGGCUUACUCCUUGCAACCCUCAGCACAUAUUAUAUCAUCUAUAAUUCUGCAAUUAUUCAUCCUUGUUUUCUCUAGACCAAAAGAAAAAAUUAUGUCAUAGCUCUUUUUAUGACAAGGGUCAGGCAAAGAACUUUGUCUAAAGUAGAUACUGAUAAAAUGUAAACUUUGGGAUAUCAAAACAUUUUAAAAAUUAAUUUAUGUUUAUGUGAGAGGCAAUGACAGAGGAAUCUAGAGCAUGAGAGAGAGAGAGAGAGGGAGAGAAAAAGAGAGAUGUCCUAUAUGCUGGUUCAUUCUCCAAAAGCCUACAUCAGCUGAGUAUGCAUCAGGCUAAAGUCAGGGGCUGGAACUCAGUCUAGGUCUCCUACUUGGUUGGCAGGGACUCAGAUAUUUGAGCCAUCACCUGCUGUCUCUGGAAUGUGCAAUAACAGGAACAGGGAUGGACUCAAACACAGGCCCUAUGAUAGGGAAUGCAGGCAUCUCAAGACAUGUGACAUGCUAACCACUGCUCCAAAAGCCUAGCCUGCAGGCUCAAAAUUUAAAAAAUAUUUUUGUUUGUUUUUUGUGUAUUUUUUUUCGAUUGGGUAGAGUGCAAUGUCCCUACUCAGAGACUCAUCUACAAAGUCUCCAAUUUCUUUCUGGUGUUUAUAUUGAGCUUCAGUUUGAUUAGGAAGGAAUCUAAGCUAAGGGGCUGGCUCAGUCUAAUGGCCCCCUACUCCCCACAAGAAAACAUUCAACAGUACUGAAUAGUUAUUGAAUGAAUUAUCUGAUACAGGAUUGAAUCACAGUGAUGGCCUUGACUUAUAGAGGAUCAUGCUGCACCCAGAGCAAACAAUCUUCUAAAUUACAAUGGUUCAAUGAAAUAGAAGUUGUUUUUUUUUUUGUUUUGUUUUUUAUUUUUUUUUUUUUUUUUUUUUUUUUUUUUUUUGAGGCAGAGUGGACAGUGAGAGAAAGAGACAGAGAGAAAGGUCUUCCUUUGCCGUUGGUUCACCCUCCAAUGGCCGCUGCGGCCGGCGUAUCACGCUGAUCCGAAGGCAGGAGCCAGGUGCUUCUCCUGGUCUCCCAUGGGGUGCAGGGCCCAAGGACUUGGGCCAUCCUCCACUGCACUCCUGGGCCAUAGCAGAGAGCUGGCCUGGAAGAGGGGCAACCGGGACAGAAUCCAGCGCUCUGACUGGGACUAGAACCCGGUGUGCCGGCGCCGCAGGCGGAGGAUUAGCCUAUUGAGCUGUGGCGCCAGCAGGAAUAGAAGUUCUUUAUCCAUCACCUAACAGUCCAGUGUGGUUGCUACUUGCCAAGAGGUGGCUUUCUGCCAUAUAGAAUCCAAAUUCUUUCCAUUUUGAAGGGCCAAGAUCUUUAAGUGGGUCUUGUUGUCUUGUAAUCAGCAGAAGAUAUGGGAUAAAUUGUAUAAGAUCAGACCACAUCUUCUAGGGUCUGGCAUUGUGGCAUAGCAGGUAAAGCUGCCAUCUGUGAAGCCAUUCUCCCAUAUGAACGCCAUUUCCUGUUCUAGUUGCUCCAUUUCUGAUCCAGCUGCCUGCUAAUGGUUUGAGAAAAGCAGCAGAAGAUGGCACUGGAUAUCUUGGACUCUGAUAUUCAAGUGGGAAACCUGGAAGAAGCUAUUGGCUCCUGGUUUCCGCCUGGCCCAAUGAUGUCCUUGUGGCCAGCUGGGGAGUAAACCAGCAGAUUGAAGAUCUCCCUCCCUCUCUGUUUCCCUGUCUCUGUAACUCUUUCAAACAAACAAAUAAAUAAAAUCGUUUAAAAAUAAAUUAUACCAGGGCUUAAAACCUCACAUUAACAAGAACUGGACACAAAAAACAAAUCCAAAAGGAAAUAAAGCAAGAGGGUAUUUAAUUUUCUGGGAAGCUACUUGCAUGAAAAUUCUUCCUGUGACUAUACUGUAGAUAGCUUUUCAGCAUGCCUUAAGAGAGAAGAAGCAUGUGUAUUGUUUUGGAAGGGAGAUGACAUUUUCUGGAUUUCAGUUAUCUGGAUAAGGCCCUUGGAUAGGUUUUAUUGACAACCCUGUACGUGAUUUGGGUAGUAUCAGCUUUGAGGAUGCUUUUCCAAAACAAUCAAACCCAUACAACCUUUGUUUGGACCUGCAGAAAAUUAUAAGACUUGCCCAAUGAGAUUAGACAUAUGGAAUAGCUCAGAUCUCCCUGCAAUAAUUACAUCUCACCUUCUUCAAACCAGAUGUUCUCUAGUACAGGGAUAGCUGCAAGUUUGCUGAAGCAGGUGCAGGGCUUCCAAACAGUUCUACUUUUCAUACACUACAAUUUAGAAUAAAAGAAAAAGUCACUUUUCUACCUUUCAAAAUAGUCCUCAGGUUUCACUUACCAAAAGCAUCCAUUUUGAGGGAAUUGCUAGAUUUCUUUAUAUGAAUAAUCAAAUAACUCUAUCAGCAAUUGCCGCAAUCCCCAAUUUGAAGUAUGUGGGAUUAAAUGAGAAACUUGCCCAAUGGAAAUAGGCAGGUGCUAUAUAAACACAUCUGUAGGUCAUUUAGAAAUUACUAUCAUCACUCUUUUCAUUAAAGUGACAUGCAUAUAUUUAGAAACUGCUUUUCAAAAACCUAAUGAAAGACUGUCCUUGAUAACUUCUAUAUAUGCUCACCUAUAAAUCAGCAUUAAAGUCCUUUACAUAAUGAGCUGCGGGUUGUUGGAGGGGACUAUGAUCUCUGCUCUCAUUUUAUUUAUAAAAAAAAAGUAGACUGGAAAUUGAUGUUUGUAUAGAUCUUUCCUGCAUUUGUUGUCACUGUUUGCAUUUAAAGUUAUUUCCUUCACACUGUCAUAGUCUUAAGUAGUAAUUUUAUAAUAUCACUUUUCUACUAACACUGAGAAUACUGAAUUAUAAUAUGGAAAGAAUUACAUAGUUAAAGGCAUAUCAAAACCCUUGUGUAUGCUUCUUAUGUUAAAAGUCUCAGAGCAACUCUAUUGAGUUCAUUGCAUAGCUUUAGUAAAUUAUUGAUGCUUACAUGAUGUCAUGGACAAAGUGUACAUUUGUAUGUGAGAGUUACAACAGCUGUUUUCUGCCUGACCACUCAAAGUCUCAUGCAGUCUUGUCUCUCAGUCCUGUGUCUAUGGAAUCCCUCUGCUACACAACAAUGCACAGGAGGUCCAGCUAUAAACUUGUUAAAGAAAUAAUAGAUCUCUACGAUCACCUCACACACAAUUUCCAAAUUUAAUCUGCCCUGUGCAGAGUUUUAUAUGAAGUCAUUUCAUAGCGUGUGUAUAUUGAGAAAGAUAACAAGCAUACAUAAUUCACUGAAAUGGACAUCUGUCAGAGGUAAAUCACUGAUCUUUUUUUUUUUUUAACAUGGAAAUCUGCAAACAAAUCCACAGAAGCAAAAUAUAAUGCAAAUAGGAUGUUAACUUCUGAUUAAAACUCCUGUGGAUCCCAUUUAUACCAUUUCUCGAUCUGUGCUAGAAUUAAAAUCCCCCAACGCUCCAAGAAAUCUUUGGUGUAGCCAAUGCUAUCAACACUGGAGUCUCAUUUGAAAACUCAGUUUAGUCUUCACACAAAGCACGCACAUCUUAAUAUGCUCAGUUUCUACUAUUUAUUAGAUAAAUGCUUGGGUUGCUUUGAUUAUAUCUUUUUGUAUAGACAGCCCAAGCAACUGAGAGAGACUUUAUUGUGUCUCUGGUUGUGUUUUCUCUGCUUUACGGCUAUCACCUGAAGCAGUUGCCCAGUGCUAGAUGACGUCGGAGGCUUUUGGGGUUAACUACAAUCCCUCCACCAAGAUAGAUGACAGAACGGGGAGACUUAUUUAGGCUAAGGCGUUCCCAAAAGAAAUAGCUUUUUCAGAGAAAUCAAUGUGCGGUAUUUGUCUCAUUAGAGUGAUAUUACUGUUUUAUGACUAAAAGAAUGGAUUAUAAAAUAUACACCCCAACAGGAAGCUCUCCACUAUACCAGUUCUUCUUUCCACAGCAUAUUUAUUUUCCCAAUUAAAUCUGGCAGUCCCAUAAAAAUGAUAGCAGGAUGAUCACAAAAACGUGCAUUUCUUUUUCAUUUUUAGUUUCUCUUCCUUUUAAACAUCGUGCUCGUUCUAUUUGAAGGUGAAAGUACAAGCUGUGUUUUCAAGACAUGUUUUUCCUCAGUAGAAUUAUGUCAUGGGGAAACACUAUGGAUAUCCAUCAAAGUGAAACCUACAAGGACAUAAGAGCUCGUUAUUAGUGAACAUUGUUUGUAACCUUCAGAUGGCUUCAGUAUUUCUGUCACAGAAUGGCAAGCAGAAUGAGAGAUUAAAGCACAUCAUAGCCUUAAAAUUAGCAACACCACAUAAAUUAUGGUUCUUAUUCGAAUAUAAAAGGAUCUAUUUUUUAUUCUAAAGUAAUGAAUUCUUACAGCCUCUGAUAUUUGUAAUAAAAUGUUACAGUGGGUUCAAGUUCAGUCAGGUCAAGGCUGGCUUCAGGUUAACACAAUUGAUUGAAACCUGCUAAAGCUUCCUAGCAGAUAGAAGCAAUCACUUCAGUCAGGAAACUAAGCCGAGGCUCAUCCCCUUGUGGUUCUCAUGCCUAUUCUGGAUCGAGUGCUUGUUCCAAUUAUGAAAUAUUUGAAGACACGAAUGAGGAAUGUUUAGGGUUCUAUAGCACUGGAAAAUGACAGAAUGCUCUUGUUCACACCCUCCUGCAAAUGAUGGUAACUCAUUUGCAAUUAGAUCUUUUUUAAGUCUUUAAAAAUAAUUUUGAUAGGUGUUUUUUUUCUUAUCCAUGUUCUAAUAAACCUUUAACAACAUGUAAGAGCGUCAGAUGAGCGUUCAGAUGAAAAGAAUAAUUAUCUAGAAACUUUGUGGGUCCAGAUUUGGAGGGCUUUCUUUUACAUCCUCCUUCUUCCCCUCCCCCACUUUCUUUCUUCCAUUUUUUAGAUACCUCCACAUUCAAAGAGGCUUGAUGAAAUGAUGAGGAAUGUUGGGGUGUUGGAAUGAAGGCUGCAAUCUGCUGUAAUGGAAGAGGGCUUUUCUCUUUGCCACCCUGACUGAUUCAGUUAAUGUGUGUAUCUAUGACCUUGGCAAUUUUCCGCAAAUGUACUUGAAGUGAAGAGAACUAUACUUCAGGCAAAAUAUCAUAGCAAUCAAGACCUUUGGUGGCUAAAUUGACUAAAAAUAUUUGCCCUUUUUCAAUUUAUUUCGUUUCUGUUAGUAAUAGCCUUGGUUGACAGAGGGAUUACUGGGUGCUUUCAUUGGAAUUUAUGAACAGAAUUCAAGUUGGAGGAAAGUAAUUCACUGGUUUUAUGCAUGACAUAUCCUUAAAAUGAGAACCCAUUGUGCUGUAUAUAUGUUGUUUGUUUACUUGUGGAAUGAUAAUCUCCAGAGACAACAUUUGAAAAUGCAUAUUCAGGAAUUUGAAAAGCUGAGAUAAUUUGCUCUGUAUGUCAAGGACAUACGUAGACCUGAAAAUCCAUAAAAAUUGGUAAACUCUCACAUUUAAACUUUGAAACAGUACAAUUGGAACUUUUUUUUCUGUUGAGCAUCUCUCAGGAAGAUGAUCAUUCUUAUAAUUGAAAUUAUCAUAUGCAUCCUGACCCUAAUUUGGGAAAGUUUAAUAUUGGGUUCACACUAAGCAAUCAUAGAAGCAAUUAUGGGCACUUGUCCUGGGGCUCCAUAGCCCAGGUGCUGCUGACUGAUUGUCGUUUGGUAAUUACCUUGGUACUUCCCAACUACUUCAUAGCAUCAGUUAAGCCAUGCGACAUACUUCAACUAAGUGACGUCUCCUCGGAAGUGCAAGUUAAUGCUUAAUUAUUUACUUAGCUGCUGCAUAUAGGGUGCUCUCUGUUUAUCUGAAACGCUGAUGUUUAAUGAAAAUUGUCUUCUGAAAGACAUGCAUGCAAGUGACAUUAAGAUGAAAUCUUUGUCAUUUGCCACACAGUUUCUUUUGAAAUAUGGAAAUUCCUUAAAUAAUAGUGAUGAUAGAGGCAUUGCCAACUUUGGGAUUUUUUCAAGUCUUUGAAGUCUGACUUUGCAGAACAGAUUGUAAAUCUCUGGCCCAUUACACACCUGCAGAGAUUUUGGUGUUUUAUUUCUCUUGGGUGAAACUGCAGAAGCCCAAACCAUGUUAAUCACUGUCAGAACCAGUUGUAUAAAAUGCCAAAAUGCAGUGAACCAAGUGUUUUAUAAUAAAUAUGACAAUGCAGUCAGAAUGUUGUUUUGUUAGGCUUGUUAUUUGUGGUAAUUUUUCAUUUAUAAUCUUUGAAACAAGAGAGUUAUAAGGCUUUUAUCAGAAAAAUUUUUAACCACAGGGGAGAAAUCACCAUAUUGUGUAAGACUCUAAGGGCUUUUAUAAUUAAUUCAUACAAAAUUAAUAAACUAAAGUAAUGGUAGUGUUUGCUAAAAGCAUCAUAAAAUGCUUGUUUUUGAAAAAAAACACAAAUAUUAACAUCAAUCCUAAAAUUUGGCCUGCGAUGUUAAAAAGAACCAAUUUUCUUAUUGCAUUAUUUUAUGACGAUUUUCUAUUUUGUAUUUUUUUCCUUUUAACGGAAUCUUAUAUUUUAUAUAGGAUUUAGCAGAUAUUUGAGUUUGGUAUUUGAGCAUGGUAACAUACAAUAAAACCAAGGCUAGGUAAACCGCUAUUUUUCUGUGAGCUUCUACAAUGUUUAGACCCUAAUUUCAGAUUGCUUAUUCACGGCUGGAAGCUUUAAAUCAAGAUUGCAAGGUCCUGGGGCAGUAUCAUAUCCAUGUUUAUUUGCCAUUAUAUUAUAUAUCCCCAAGGAUUACUUAGCACAUAGCCAGGAGUCAAUACAUAUUUCUUUAGCAAAGGGGUUAACUAAAUGAUUAAUUGCUACAACAAGUAUGAAAAAGAAGAUAUACUAUAUUAUACCAAACUAUAUGAUUUUUGAAGAUCAGCAUAGCAGAAACUUGCUAAGCUUCUAUUGCCUUUUUUCAGCCCUGUGACUGAAUUGAAAAGAAGUAGGAUUAAAAUAAAUGCUAUGAUAUAUAUUUCUUUGUCCCAUACUGUCAGGUUUUUAAAGUUACUUCUACACACAUGUACUACAUACAAAGGCACAUUAAAAGCUGGCAAAGGGGCAGAUGUUUGAUGCAAUGGUUAAAAUGGCACUUGGGAUGCCCAUAUUUCCCAUCUGGAAGUGCGGCUUCCAUCCAGGCUCUGGUCCUGUUUCAGCUUCCUGCAAAUGAGCAUUGUGGGAGACAACGAGUGAUGGCUCAAGUAGUUGAGUCACUGGUACUCAACUGGGAGAGCAAGAUUAUCUGUCCAGCUCCUUGCUUUGGCUUGGCUCAGCCCAGACUGUUGCAGGCAUUAGGGAUAUGAAUCAGGAGACAGAAGAUCACUGUCUGUCUGUCUCUAUCUCUCUGCCUUUCAAAUAAAAAUAAAUAAAUAAAUAUAAUAAGAAUUACAUGGAAAAUGAAAAGAUGUUUAUUUUGGUUAAAAUGCAAUUAAAAGAUCAUUUUUUUGGUGCAAACUUUUUUUAAAGUACAUGCAUACAUCUUUCCCAAUAAGCAUUUCCACAUACUUACAUAAAACAUUUGAGAUCAGAAAUCUGCAGUUAGAGACUACCUGAAGCCAAGGAUAAGAAUUUUUCUACACUAUGAUGAGAAUCAGAGUAAUACAUUCUCCUCAUUUGUGUCUUGAGGGAUAUUUAGGGAACAACAUCAAUGAAAUUAUUGAAUGAAAAAAAUACCACUAAUGAAUUAUCCACAAAAAUUAAUGUGGGUACAUUUUUCAUGGCUCCUUAGCAAAGAUGUCUUUUCAAUAACUUUUGCAAUUACUAAAGCUAUUAUCCACUGAAUUUUGUGUAUGACGAGGGCUCUUGAAUACGUAUAACUUUUCAGUUUCAAUGCUCUGGGUUAUACAUCACUAACUAUUGUUCAAAGGAGAUAGAGACGCAUUGUGUCCUUCACAGACCAGUAGCUUCUGAUGAUCUAAUUUUAUCUUCAACAAUAGUUACAAGUAAGAGCAAAAAACACAGUGUGGAGCGUGCUGUUUUAGCUAUUGUACACCUACAUGAUUAGAUGGGAAUGGGCUAAGCACUGUGUAGACCAGUAUUAUUUCCAGAUGUUUCUCCACAGUCAGUGCUUAAGUUUUCCAUGGUAAUAAAAUAUGAAGUUAGAAUUAGAGAUUAUCAGAUGAGAGGCAUACACAUACCAGACAUAAGCAUUUUAGCUAAGCAUGUGAAAUCUAUGUUUCUCUUGCCAUCUUCAUACAUUUUACAGACUUAGACACAUAUAUUCUAAAGUGGUAAACUAAAAAAGACUCUACAGGUCUCCUUUAAAGCACAGCAAGCUUGAUCCUAGCAGGAAGAUAAUACCUUUCUAAUUAUUUUUGUAGAGUGUUUAGAUAUCUAAAGCAGAGUAAAGAAAUGAAUGCCCUCAUUCUUUACUCUCUCACUUCUUAAGGAUCCCUAAGGAUCACACUGUGGAACAGUAGGACAGUGGAUUAAGCUACUGCUUAUGAUGCCUGCAUCCUAUAUCAGAGUGCUGGUUCAAAUCCUGGCUGUUCCGCUCCAUCCAGCCCUCUAGUAAUGUGCCUGGAAAAGCAGCAGAUGAUGGCUCAAGUGCUUGUGCCCCUGCCACCCAUAUGGGAGACGUGGAUAGAGUUGUGAGCUCCUAGCUAUGGUCUGGUCCAGCCCCGGCCAUGGCAGCCAACUGGGGAGUGAACCAGAAUAUAGAAGAUCAUUCAUUCUCUCUCUCUCUCUCUCUCUCUCUCUCUCUCUCAGCCACCCCCCCUUACUCCCUUCUCUCUCUUCUCUCUUAUCUUUCCACCUCUUCCUCUCUUCCUCUCUCUGUGUCUCUCUGUUACUCUUCCUUUCAAAGAAAUAAAAUAAAUCUUAAAAAAAAAUUAAAAACCCCUCACUAUACCACAUUCUUGUCAGUUGUAAACACUAUGUGCUAGUUGAAGGUAUAUUGCAAUUCUCUGCUUCCAUCCCAGCUAAACUUCAACUGUAUCAUGAUCAAGUGACCACAACAGAUCUUUGAGAAAACUAAAAUCUAAUGUAAAUAAACGACAUUUCAAGUAGUUGUGAAUUAUCUCUUUUUAAAAGAUCUAUUUAUUUGAAGUCAGAGUAACAGAGAGGCAGAUGCAGAAGGAGAGAGAGAGAGAGAGAGAGAGAGAGAGAGAUAGGUCUUCCAUUUGCUGAUUCACUUCUGAGAUGGCCACAACAGCCAGAGCUGCACUGAUUCGAAGCCAGGAGCCAGGAGCUUCUUUGGGAUCUCCCACAUGGGUGCAGAGGCCCAAGGAUUUGGGCCACUUUCACAUGGCUUUGCAGGCCAUAGAAGAGAGAGCCGGCGCCGUGGCUCAAUAGGCUAAUCCUCCACCUUGCGGCGCCGGCACACCGGGUUCUAGUCCCGGUCGGGGCGCCGGAUUCUGUCCCGGUUGCCCCUCUUCCAGGCCAGCUCUCUGCUAUGGCCAGGGAGUGCAGUGGAGGAUGGCCCAGGUGCUUGGGCCCUGCACCCCAUGGGAGACCAGGAGAAGCACCUGGAUCCUGGCUCCUGCCAUCGGAUCAGCGCGGUGCGCCGGCUGCAGCGGCGGCCAUUGGAGGGUGAACCAACGGCAAAGGAAGACCUUUCUCUCUCUGUCUCUCUCUCACUGUCCACUCUGCCUGUAAAAAAAAAAAAAAAAAAAAAAAGAGAGCUGGAUCUGAAGUGGAGCAGCCAGGACUCUGACACUGCAGGUGGUGGCUUUACCUGCUAUGCCACAGCGCCGGCCCCUAUCUAUCUCUUCUUAUACUAUUCUUUUUUCCCCAAAUUUUUUGGUAAUGAGUUUUAUUAGGGUUAAAGAAAUUACUGAAGGAAACCAGAAUUUUUAAAUGAUCUUAAUUCUAAUUAAACAGCAACUUAUGGUAAUGAACCCUGAAUAUAAAUAAGGGUUAAGUUGUCAAAGAUUAAUGAUGGCAAAUCAGAUCAAAGCACUCGCAUAAUUUUUGUAAAACAGUUUGUAUGAAUUUACUACGGUGUCGCUCCCCCUCUUCGCGGAGGAACGACACAAGACCCUGCGUUGUUCUUUUGCCUGCUCGGCCCUCCCCGGGUUUGCUGCUGGUUCUUCCCGGGUUGGCUACCGACCCUUCCACCUCCGUGGAAGGGCGGUUCCCCCUGCCACUUUCCCCACUUCCGCGGGGGAGUGGCACACCGCCGGCCAGCUCUCUCGGGGGCUGCUCAGAUGUUCCUCAGGUGUUCCUGGUGCAUGUUGUCUCUCUCCUCCUUUAUAGUCCUCUUCCGCCAAUCCCAAUUCUGCUACCCACACGCCGAGUACGCUGCUCUCCUCCAAUCAGGAGCAGGUCCUGCUGUUUAUUGGUUGAACUGGAGGCAGCUGUGUAGAAGCUGUUUCCUCCUCUCCCAGGGCCAUAUUGUGGGAGAGCAGAUGCAUAGAAUAAGUCUUAAUUCCAGUAACAGUCUAGUCCGAGUUGCUCCCCACACUACGGAAAGAAAGUCUUACUUGCACUUAAAAUUUUUUGUUCUUUUCUCAUAAUUUGUGGAACUGUGAAAUAGCAAUAAUUUAAAAAGGUAUAGUGCAAGUGUCUGAAGAUCCAUUGACUAUAUCCCCUUGGUCUUUGACACAUCCCUCAAGUAUUCCUGUGUUAAAGAAAAAUUAACUUCAUGCAGUAAUCCUAAAGGAAAUCACCACUGGAAUUUUAUAAGAUAUUUAAAUAAAAUUAUGAUUUUUUAAAUGACCCAAGAUAUAUUUUGGGACCUCAAGGACUGAAAGAAAUAUUUUUAUUUAAACAAUUGCAAAAUUAAAAGACAGAUUAAAAGAGAAAUUACAUUCCUGUCUAAAAAGACUAUCAAACGCAAAAAAAAAGUAUGGAAGAAAGUCAUAGGUCUUUCAUUACAUUAAUGAUUGUAAAUGCUGAGCUACACUGACUUUGAAAAAAAUUAUGGGUUUUGUUUAUAUAAUUUUGUAUCUAUAUACGUUUAAUUCCUAAAGAUCAACCAGAGACAAGUUUAACUGGACAGAGCACAAUCAAAUGGAGUUGGAUUAUACAGGUAUCCAGGGUCACAUUAAAGAUGUUCAGCUAUUUUGAGGCCUAAUAUCAGAAAUUCAGUAAAGUGCCAAAAAUCCUAUUUCUAACUCAUUCUUAGUGCUACAUUGUCACUAUCCAGACUUUUAUUGACUUCCCAGAGAGGAAAUAUUUAGUCCUUCAUUUAUCAUCAAAUAUUUUAACUAAUUACUGUAUACUAUACACAUAUUCAUAAUAUAUUUUAUAUUUUGUAAUCUCCAAAAUAAGAUUAUCCUAUAAGUAUACUAGCCACAUUUUCAAUGAGAGGACAUUCAAUCAGCAAUGAAAUACUGUUCAAAACUGAUGGCCCUUACAUGAUCGUGGGGGUGGAAUUGGAAGUCAAAUCUAUUUGAUUCCAACUAAAGUUCUUUCCACUACAUAACUUCACUUUUUCUUCCAGUCUUUUAUUACUAUUCAACUUCUCAUCCUUUCCAAUAAAGACAAAUCCACUCUCUUUUUAGUUCCCAAGAAGGAAGUGAAAGAACAGAAAAUUCAAGUUACACGCAACAAUAAUAACACCAAACUGAUUUUGAAUUGGAGACCAAAUGAUUGCUGGUCUACUGAAACUUAAUGUACAAAAUGUUUUCUCAACCUUUAACUUAUAUAAAUAAAAAGUUUCAAAAUUUAGCUACCAAUUACUUUCUUCAGAUAAUUCAGCACAAUUAACCCUUCUAAGUGAAAACAUUUCAAUAUCAUAUUUCCAAGGCAAUUAUACUCUAAGAUAAAAUAUGUUGUACUAGUAAUGAAUGUACUGAUGAUAAUUUCCAUAUUGUUGUAUAUAUUUCAGUAACCACUUUUAAGUUACCUAAGUACAUAUAAUAACAAAUAGACAUUGGAUACCUGUGAUGAUCAGUUUUUAUUCUAAACAUCCCAUACCAUGUAAUUUAAUCUUCAUAAUAACCCAAUAAAAUAGAAACUAACAACAUCCCAUAGUCAAAAUCAUUGUCAAAUACACCUAAGUGCAUGGACUCCAGAUCCUCCAUACUAGAAUGCUUUGUACUGUAGGUUUUCCUCUUAUAUGACUCCUGAAUUAUAGGCAUGUUCCUUAACUGCACUUGAGAUUUAGCAUAUUAUUAUAAACUAUAUCCCAAUGGAUUGAGUAACUGAAGUAGUAAUGUGAAGUAGUGUGACAUUUGUAAUACAAUCUCGCUGCAGGGACCAUGAGACAAAGUUUUUGUAUAAUUAGCAGCAGAGUUAACUAAUCGGUUGAUUAAUUUAAACUACUUGAACCAUCAUUUUAUUACUCUCAUUGGAAAUGUACCAGAGGAGAAAAAAUUAGAGUGAAACAUGCUAAGAAUGUAAUAUAUGAAGGAAAACUCUAAAAAGAAAAUGAAGCUGUUGAACAUACUAGAAAUUAUUCAAGAGACUAAGAAUUUGUCAUUAAUGCAUAGAUGUAUAAAAAGUAGACAGAACAUUACCUACAAGCCUAUAUAUUAGGCAAAGAAGAUACGCAUGGUUAUUAACUAUUUAUUUUGAAUUUCUUCCUGUUAUCUUAAUGAAAGGUAUCAUCCUGUCAGUGUUUCUGAGGAAGAUCCUUUUUUGGCUACCCCCAUACCCAAAUUACCGCACAACUUCACAGGCAACAUUUUAAAAUGUUUUCAAUAAUAAUUUGUCUUAAAAGUGACAAGUUUUAAGAACUUAAGAAAAUAUCUAUAUUUAAAAUAUAGUGCCACAAAGACAGUGUUUUCAAUGAACUAGAAGAAGCAAAAUGUUUCUAUUGAAACUUUCCUUAAGCAAGUAAAUAUUUCACAGCUAUCAAAACAUUUAUGAAAUUCACUAGAUAGUUAAAUGGAAAAUAUUUCCCACUUGCCAGAUCUGCUCCCACUUUCAUUUUAUUUGCUCUUAUUUUCUGCUGUUUUCUUAUUUGUAAUGAGUUCAUAAUAAUGAACAUGAUAUUUGGUUAAUGAAGAAUGCAUUUCAUAUUUAGAGAUCUACAUAUUUAUGUGACCUUCUUUUGUUCCUAAAUGCUAAUAUUUAUUCCCUCUUUGUUGAGAUUUAUUUUGUGUUUUGUGACAAACAAAAGUACGAUUAGUGAAGCUGUAAAGUUCUCAUGGUAGCGGCCUGUGUUCCCAAGAUAGCAGCAUUAGUGUCUACAGAAGCAGUUAAUGCUGUUUAUCAUUAGUGACAGAGGCUGGGAAGGACCUUCUGUGGCUUUUAUCUUUCACCUUGCCAACAGAAGUUGAUGAGCUUUCUGAUUUAAAUUCAUAGGUGAUGCUCCAGGAUUUUUAUGCACUUCACAUGGACAAGCACACAGGUAAACCUAUCCAGCUGAUGGAGUCUAAUUAAAAUCAUCCUAACAUUCUAAUACUGGACAUCCAUGGGAAAAUCACACUUUAUCCAUAUUUAAUGUCAGAGUUGCCCAAUGGAAAAUGAAUAAUAAUAUAGCUUAUGGAAUAAUUAUCCCCUUUCUGCCUUAGACAGUGUUUAUCAUAUUAUGCCAUGACUUAUUUUAGGGACAUACCAAGUAAUGAAUGUAAGGCAUAUUUUUAUGAUAAACAUUUUUAUUAAUUUGAAUUGUAGUAGCUACAGGUAUUUUACGACAAGGGAAUUCCAGUGGUGUGGCACAUUUGAAUAAAUAUUGAUCAUUUCUCGUGUAUAAAAUUUUCCAGUGUGUGGACAAAUGACAGUCAUCAAUAGAAAAUUAAAAUUUGCAGUGUGAUUUAUUUGAUUUUAAGUGAAUGUUUAGGCAGCUUUUGGUAUUAUAGAAUUGCUUUCUACUUUAAGAUUGUGUUAUAUAUUGUCCAAAAAUAUAAUAUAGAAUUUAGUAUUCCCUAAAUUUUUCAGAAAUCAUUGUGUGUGAUUGAUUUUCUAUGUUCUGAUAUUAGAAACAUCUCUCUGUAAUUGGAGAUCACACACUAUAAUGUUUUAAAAUUUUAAAUUGAAUAAAUCUUAUUAAAUUAUUACUAUGCUUUCUAAAAAACUGAACAAUUUUGUCUUGGCCACAAAAUAAAAUAUAAGCUCUUUACUAUAAAAUGGAUCUUACUUGUCUAUUCACCUAUUCAUUUUUUUCUCAUUGCAUUUUUCUCCCUCAGACUUACAAGCUGUCAUCUCAACUCCUCUUGAUUUCCUUCCCUCCACUUCACAAUAAAUAUUCCCUCUUCAGAGAAAUCUGUUUCUCUUGCCUUUCCUUUAAAAAUCUACUGUUUCCACACAUGCCUAUCUUAGCACCCUGGGUGGUAGUUGGCACUACAUUAAUUACUGACUUUAUUUAGUGUGUGUGAGACAUAAGCUGUUGAGGACACACUGGAUACCUCAUACUCACCAUCUAACCCUAAGAAUGACACCAACCACAACCUGGGUAUACUGGAUUCUUGAAAUUGACAAAGUUUCAGUAUGAAGGGAGAAUUACUUUUUUUGUCUUCUAUGAAAAUAUAAAUACUUAAGGCUGGCACUGUGGCGUAGUAGGUUAAGCCUCUGCCUGCGGUGACAGUUCAAGUCCUGGCUGUUCCACUUCUGAUCCUGCUCCCUACUAAUGUGCCUGGGAAAGCGGUGGAAGAUGUCCCAAGUCUUUGGUCUCUUGCACCUGCAUGGGAGACCUGGAAGAAGCUCCUGGCUUUGGAUCAGCUCACCUCUGGCCAUUGCAGCCAGUUGGGGAGUGAACAAGAAGAAGGAAGAUAGAUCUCUCUACUCUCUCUCUCCCUCUCUGUCUGUAACUCUAUUUCUCAAAUAAAUAAAACAAAUCUUAAAAAAAUACUCAAAAUGAUACAAAAUAAACUAACUUGUUUUCAGGAAAUAAAAGAUAUUGACUAAUAUUUAUUAGAGAUAUCCAUCAAUGUAAUAUUUGAUGUCAUAUUUUUAAGUUUUACUAAUGAGGUUAAGAUAUACUGAAAAGGAGUGCUUAAAGUAUAAAUUUAGGGACUUAAGAAGCAUGAGUUAGUUAAAUUUAAAGCAAUAUUACAAAGAAAUGAUUUGAAUAUUCAAAAGAACAAAAAUUUUGACAUUGUAAAUUCACUUAUGUUUACCACAAUUUCAUGAGGACAGUUUAAGUGCUCCUGACCAGGAAAUACUACUAGCCAAAAAUGUGUAAAAUUGUUAUCACAGGUAGCUGUGAGUACAUCCAAAAUUUAUUUUUAAAUAAAUGAAAUUUUAGUGUAUAGCUGUUUAUUUUAAACUCUAGAUUUUAGACUAACAUAGAAAUAAAUCUUUAUGAUUUCCUAAGUAACUAAAGAAAAAGAAAUUUGAAAUUAUUGAUCAAGUGAGCCCGUCUUUGGAAACUGAUUUGAGUUUACUAUGAGAUUGGUUUCUGGACUUCAGAAAUUCAGAUGAGGGAGGCAAACACUUUGCUUUUCAUGUUCACCUCUCAAAACAUUGCAGUUUCAUGCAAUUUUGCUCUUACUUUAAUGAUAUCAGCUGUAUAAUCUCAUUUCUUUUGCAAGAGAAAGGCAACAGAGUAAAGAGAAUAGCCUUUAGUAAUAACAAGACUCUCUACACAUCAAUAUUAUACCCUUCAAAGGGAUCUGAAUUCCCAGUUCCAAGUAAUUGUGACCCACAAAAUUGUUUUCUUUUUUCAUCAACAAAAAAACAUUUUAUUCAACUUGUUAUGUUUUUGGUGCUCCAUUAAAGUCAUUUUGUAAUACUGACAACUGUUACACUCUAAAGACUAAAACAGUGGCUUUUAUUCUAUAACUGAAGUUGAUGCCACAUUCAGUUUCCCUUCUUUCCUGCGACCCAUAUUAUUCUCUGACAUCUUUCGAAAAAUGCACAUUCUAUGCAAGAAAGCUUUGGCAAACAUUUCUAUUUUUCAAUCUGUUUGCAGAAGUCAGCACCAGCUGAAUGAACAAGUCUUUCUAAAAAAUAUGACGUUCUUUGAUAAGCAGAGGAUUUUGUUCCCUUUAAAAGAGUAGAGUUGAGAUUUCUUCCCCAUAUUUCAUAAAUCAUCUUGGUUCUUGCAUGCACAUUAAGAUGCAUUAUUAAAUAUUGAUCAUAACUUUCAAGAGUAUUCAAGUUUUAAGAGCAUAAAGAUUUUCAUGACAACCAAGAAAAAAUAAGAUGUAAGAAAAAUGCAAAAGUUAUCCCACACAAAUGAUGUAUAAUAGUAACACUUUUGAAGGUAAGGUUCUAAUGUCAAUUCAAAGUUAAUUAUUACUAUUCUCAUAUAUAUAAAAUAAAUGUGGCUAGUCUUGUUUUAUAUUCAAUGCAGAAUAUCUAUUGUAGGAAUCAGAAUAAAUAUAUGUUCAUUUUAACAAAGGUUCAUACUAUAUAAUUUGUGUAUAUAUUAUAUAAAGCUAUUCUCAUAUGCAUAUAUAAUGUGGGAUCUAAUUUUAAGCUAUUAAUAGUUUAAUUUCUUUUUUUUAAGAUGUAUUUUAUUAAUUUGAAAGGCAGAGCCACAGAGAGAGGGAGACUCAAAGAGAGAUCUUCCAUCUGCUGGUAUAAUCCCCAAAUGGUUAAAAUACCCAAGGCUGGGCCAGAUCAAAGCCAGGAUCCAGGAGCUUCAUCCAGAUCUCCCACAUAGGCUGUAUGGGUCCAAGGAUUCAGGCAUCUUUUGCUGCUUUCCCGGGCACACCAGCAUGGAGCUGGGUCAGAAGCGAAGUAGCCAGGACUCAACCCAGCACCCAUAUGGGGUGCUGGCAUUACAAUGCUGGCUCUAAUAGUUUAAUUUUAAUUAAAUAUGACUAAUUUUGUUGAACUCCAAGAUAUGCUUGAGAAAAUAUCAAUGUUGCUGUUUUAUCAACCUUCUUAUUUUCUUUCUUUCUGCUUUAGAGUUGGACAUUUAUUUUUUUUAACCUUUAUUUAAUGAAUAUAAAUUUCCAAAGUACAGUUUAUGGAUUACAAUGGCUUCCCCCCCAUAACAUCCCUCCCACCCGCAAUCCUCCCCUUUCCCGCUCCCUCUCCCAUUCCAUUCACAUCAAGAUUCAUUUUCGAUUCUCUUUAUAUACAGAAGAUCAGUUUAGCAUACAUUAAGUAAAGAUUUCAACAGUUUGCAUCCACAUAGAAACACAAAGUGAAAAAUACUGUUUGAGUACUAGUUAUAGCAUUAAAUCUCAAUGUACAGCACAUUAAGGACAGAGAUCCUACAUGAGGAGUAAGUGCACAGUGACUCCUGUUGUUGACUUAACAAAUUGACACUCUUGUUUAUGGCCUCAGUAAUCACCCUAGGCUCUUGUCAUGAGUUGCCAAGGCUAUGGAAGCCUUUUGAGUUCACCAACUCUGAUCAUAUUUAGACAAGGUUGUAGUCAAAGUGGAAGUUCUCUCCUCCCUUCAGAGAAAGGUACCUCCUUCUUUGAUGACCUGUUCUUUCCACUGGGAUCUCACUCGUAGGGAUCUUUCAUUUAGUUUUUUUUUUUUUUUCUUUUCCCCAGAGUGUCUUGGCUUUCCAUGCCUGAAAUACUCUCAUGGGCUUUUCAGCCAGAUCCGAAUGCCUUUAGGGCUGAUUCUGAGGCCAGAGUGCUGUUUAGGACAUCUCCCAUUCUAUGGGUCUGCUGUGUAUCUCACUUCCCAUGUUGGAUCGUUCUCUCUCUUUUUGAUUCUAUCAGCUAGUAUUUGCAGACACUAUUCUUGUUUAUGUGCUCCCUUUGGUUCUUAGUCCUAUCAUUAUGAUCAAUUGUGAACAGAAAUUGAUCCCUGGGACUAGUGAGAUGGCAUUGGUACAUGCCACUUUGAUGGGAUUGAAUUGGAAUUCCCUGGUAUGUUUCUAACUCUACCAUUUGGGGCAAGUCAGCUUGAGCAUGUCCCGAAUUGCACAUCUCUUCCCUCUCUUAUUCCCACUCUCAUAUUUAACAGUGAUCACUUUUCAGUUAAGUUUCUAGAGUUGGACAUUUAAAUAUUUGCCCAAAUAACUGGAUAGCAAAUAUCCAAUGAGAGAACAGUAUGUUCAUAUUUUAAUAUAAAAUUAAAUGUAUUUAUAAAUAAUGGUUUUCAAGGCCAGCAAUAUGGCAUAGCAGGUUAAGCCUCCAUCUGAGUGCAGUGCCAGCAUCCCAUAUAGGUGCCAGUUUGUGUUCUGGCUGCUCCUCUUCCAAUUCAGCUCUCUGCUAAUACAUCUGGGAAAGCAGUGGAGGAUGGCCCGAGGUCUUGGGGCCCCGUAACUGCACGGGAGGCCCAGAAGAAGCUCCUUGCUCCUGGCUUCCGAUUGGUCCAGCUCCAGCUUCUGUGGCUAUUUAAGGGAUGAACCAGCAGAUGGAAGACCUCUCUCUCCAUCCUUCCCUCUCUCUAUCUGUAACUCUGCCUUUGUAAAUAAAAAUAUAUCUUUAAAAAAUUGGUUUUCUUCAUUUUAAAUGUCCUCCAAAUCUACCUUUUCUUUUGAUUGAAAUGAUCAAUUAUUAUUUUUUGGUGAUGGAUACUAAGAUACAGUAAAAUCAUGGUUACAAAAAUAGCUACUCUAGAUACCAUCCUAGUUAAUAAGCAUUGUAAUAGCAAGAUGAAUUUAACACACUAGCUAGACAAAAAAUAUUUGUUUAAUGCAUUAGUAUAGCCUUAAAACAAAAGGCAAGAAUAGAAGCUUUCAACCUCAAUACUUUAGAGAUAAAAAUAUAAAAUAUGAAAGCAUAUCUAUGAAAUCAUUAAACAAACAGGGCUGUUUCUUAUUAGUAAAUAUGUGUACCGCUAUAUUUUAUUCUAUCUAUAAACAUAUAGCUUGUGUCCCUGUGUGUUGAAUAUAUAAAAAGAAGGGAUAUAAAGCAUGCAAAAGCACAAACAGCUGAUUGCAAACUGAAUUCCAUAGUAACAUCUUCUGCAGAACACAGUACAGUGAAUAAUUGCCAACUUUAAUUCUCAUGUUUUCAGCUGAUUAAGCAUUACUUGUAAUGGGGGAGAAAACAAACUUCAUUUGAUUCUGGAUCUGGGUAAUUUUGGCGACUGAUCUAUUGGGAGUUGAUAUUGAUGGUGGAAGUGUGAAGCCAAUAAGUCAGAAUUAUGUGCAGAAGUGUUUGCUAGCAAUUUGUUUUUAAUAAUGUAACAACUUGUGUUUGUAAAAAGAACCACAAUUAUUCAUUCCUUUUCAGUAAAAGCCACAAAAUACUUUGCUCAAAGUCUGUUUGCAAUGAUACAUGAUUUUAGUAUCGAGAUUUUUUUUUUGAAAGUUUAUACUCUGCUCAACAAAGUAAAACUUGGGGCUCCUAAGUUUCAAGCUAUUAUGAGAAGUUUCAGUAUCCUGAGUAAGGCUGUAAGAUGCGGAAGGAACCCUCAGUAUCCAGGGGUUGACGGUGCUGACAAAUCCCUACCCUUACUUGAGUCUUCCACGUCUUGAUUUUCAAUGCACUUAUAAGGAAUCCCUAUAUUGCAAAGGCAUAGAGGACCUUAGCCUGGUAUUAUCACUCUGGCAUCCACAGAACUCUGUUACCCAACACAUUUUUAAUCUCAUCGAGCCCAUUAUUCUACGUCACAACCACUAGGACUAAAACACACAUAUAAUCAAUUAUAAAUAAUGAAUUCUGGGGUGGGCAUUGUGGCACAGGUAUUAAGAUAACUGCGAGACACCCACAUGCUAUAUCAGAGUGCCUAAAGUCAAGUCCUCCUUCUUCCUCCAAUUCAGUUUUUUGCUACUGUGCACAUUGAGAAAUAGCAAGUGAUAGCUCAAGUUCUUGAGUCUCUGCUACCCAUGUGGGAGACUUGGAUGGAGUCGCUAGCUCCUGCCUUCAGCCUGGCCCAAUCCUGACUUUUGUGAUCAUUUGGAGGGGUGAAAAACAGAUGGUAUCUCUCUCUUUGUCUCUCCCUCCAUCUCUAUCUUCCAGUUUCUUUGUCAUUCUGCCUUUCAAAUAAAGUCUUUAAAAAAAAAAAAAAGAACUAAUUCUGUAACUUUGCAGUGUAACUAUCAGAGAGUAAUUGUGCAAAUAUAUGUCUUGUAUUUACAUACAGUAAUCCUAAUUCCUUAUUUAUGAAAUAAAAGUUAUAAGCUAAAACAUUAACAAAAUCAAAAAUACUCACAUAAACAUGGGAAAUUGUUAUUGAAAGCUUUUUCUGAAAAUUGUAGGCUGAGGGUAGUAGUGGCAGGAAAAGUGCUUAGUUAAUUCUAGGACAGCCUAGAGCUCUCUAUCAGGUGUAAGCAGCAAGCACAAAGACAGGUCUGGGAGUCACUUUGGACAAUAAGCAGUGAACGUAUCUCUUAGACAGAGAUACAGCGGGAGAGGGAAUAAUGUUAAAAGCUGUACUGAGUGCUGAAUUGAGCCCUAUUGAAUAUCUUACAUUAGAUUACUUUCUUACCAUUAUUCUGCUUCCCAAUUCAUGGUUACUACAUAUUUACCUAAAUAAAACAAGGCAUUGAUGAGUAAAUUAUUCAUCAAAUACAGCAAAGUAUCUGCAAGUAUUUCAACUACCUCUGCUUAAUAAUUAUUCACCCUAUUCAUGAAUUUUUGAUGUAGUAUGGUAUUUUAUUUCAGCACAGCAAUCUAUAUUUAAGUCUACUAUGCACAUCACUCAAAAACUAAAGUUUGAUAGAUAAUAAAAUUUUAAAUUUUCUGAAUGUUACAUUAUUAGUAUAAUUGAUUGACUUCAUACAAUAAUCAAAUUGUAAUUAAGCCAAAUAUUUGAUUAUUUUAAGCAGAUUGAGAAAUUUUGGAUAUUUUGUGCUACUAUGUUAUAAAAUCUUACCUAAAACACCUGUAUCAGUAAGAUUGUCAACACUUAGGUCACAAAAUUUAGACACAGCUUAAAGAAAAUAUGAAAUUACAGAUUAUUGAAAAUACCCUAAAGAAAUAUCCUAAACACAUCUUGUAAAAGACUGUAAGAAAAAAAAUUAUUGUAAAAAUAAUUUCAAUAAAGUGUUUCACAUAAAAUUAUUUUUAAUUUCAUUUUACAAUAUUUUUGAAGGGCCUCUUACACAUUAUCUUUUAUGAGUUAUAUUACUUUAAGAUGUAUUUGUUUAUUUGAAUGGCAGACAGAGGUGGGAGGAAGAAAGAGAGAAAUAGUCUAUCUAUUGAUUCACUCCCCAAAUUGCUACAACGGCAGGGCUGAGGCAGGCAGAAGCCAGGAGUAAGGGACUCCAUUCAGGUCUCCUACCUGAGUGGCAGAGACCCAGGUAUUUGAGCCAUUGUCUGCUCUUUCCCAGGCACGUUAAAGGGAGCUAGAUAGGAAACUGAGCGGCCAGGACUCAAACUAGUGUUUGGAUAUGGGAUGCCAGCCUGUAAGCCACAGCUCAACUCACUGUGCCACAGGCUAGCCCUGAGUAUGUUAUUUUUUAACCUUGGAUAUACAGGAGUUUUAAAUUUUUAUGUAGUGACUAUUGAUCUUUUCCUACAGGAAAACGGAAAGCUUAUAUACCUAGUAACAUACAAACAUUUUUUUUGUAACCACAUUGGCCAGUCCCUCAAAGAAACAAUGAAAUCUGUGUUUUCUAAGACAAAAAGCAAUGUGUAUUCUUUGUGUGGAAAGCAGGGAGGAGAGUGUAUAGAUUAACUGACAGCAGGAGAGAGAAUUCCAGACAUGGCCCAUUUGUUAAUGUUUAGAAGUGCAUGUCCUAUGGCCAUCCACAAAUAAAUAAAACUUAAUCAUGGAUAUAUUUUGGUAAAUACUUGUUCAUCCUUGUUUUAUGAGGUUGGGCUACGAUAUAGUAAAAUCUAUUGAAUGAAUAAUAGCACAGGGAAGAAUUGAUUUUGGGCAGGUUCACAUUGUUAAGACCUAUUUAUUUGAAUGAUUCCUUUCUUUCCCCCUACUAUAGAGAAUAUAGUUUUUAAAAUUAUGUUGAACAUUGACUUUCUUUUGUCACUGAAAAUACCCUUUAAGAAACACUUUUCCUGUAGCGGGCAGAGAAGGUGUUUGAUAAAUGAGAUGCCUUAUGAUUGUACAAACUGAACAACAUCCAACUUAACUUAAAAUUGGAGAUGUGAUUCUGAAAAAGAUUCUACUGAACUUGUUGCUUGAAAAGCAAACAUUCUAAGAACAAUUGAAUAUCAUCUAAUUUGUAUUAAUCGAUAUGUUUAAACAAAUAAUGUACAUAAUACAACAAAGGUCUAUGAGAAAAAUUGUGCAGCAUGGAGUAUUAUCUUCUUUACGAGAAUUAUAACAAAAAAAAAAUCUCUUCUUUCCCUUAAUACGUUACAUGCAUCCUGGUAUUCAUAGCAGUGGGAGGAUGUGAGUAGAGUACACCAGCUUUUUGAAAAUGAUUCUGUUCUUGAGAUAAAUUUGAUGGCUAAUUAAAUGGAAAGUUGUUUUUGGUGAGGAUUUCUUUGAAGAAGAUGCCAUAGUCAAUAAACUCUCCAUAAUGAGCACGUUUUUGAGCUAUGGUUUCCAGUCAUGGAAGAGAAAGAAUGAAUCGAAAUCUGAAGCGGGAGUAGAGCAAGGAGGCAGUGGGAAGCUGUUGAAUGAGAAUGGGUGGGUGAAGGACUCCACAGAGCGAUGGAGGAAGCUGUGGAAUACAAAAUCACAGCAGUGGGUACCUGGGGUGUCUAUUCCUACAAUAGCGUCUGUCGGAGCAUCCCGAUUCUGCUUUGCUUCUUGUCCCUGUGGAAUGCUCAAUGCCGCAGCUGGAUUAGACACCCUGCUUUCAAACCUUGGUUGUGCUUCUCAUUUGCAGUGUGUUUGCAGUUAAGUACUUACCCUCUUAGUGCUUAGUUUCUUAUUUGCGACUGGGCAUUGCAAGGUUUACCAAGGGCUCUGAUGGAAAUUACAGGAAACUGUAAACAAAAGCAUAUUGAGUACCCUAUUUUGUACAAUAAAGAUUGCUCUUGAAGAGUGAGAAUGACGAUAGUCAGGAAACUGGGGGAUUGUCAAAUUCAUGAAGUACAGACGUUGAUGGAGGAAAUCUCCAGCUAGUUUACUGGAAAACGAGGUCCAGGACAAUAUGCUUCUUUAGUUGCAUUUAGUAUGAGAAGGAGGGGGGCCUCUUUCUCAACUGUGUAAUACGUCAUUCCCUUGAGUAUGUUUAUGGUUUCCAUCCUCACUUGGCUCUAACUUUACUCUCAAUUCUACCAAUACUAAUAGUUCCAUAGGCAUGUCAUGCCUCCUGGCUAAAGCCUGGAUUCCUAAAACAGUGUCUUUGGAUAAGAAUUAUUGUGAAGGUUUUAGUUUAAUCAGGCUAACUCUAGGCAUUAAGAGGAAAGAUUCUGUAGGAAGCAGCAGAUUUGGAUGUUUGGCAUAGUGGCGAGGACACUUCUAGAGAUGCAUGGGUCACCACCCCUUCUUCCAAUAGCAGCUUCCUGCUUAUGCACACUCUAGGAGGUUGAAGGUGAUGCACAAUACUUCAGUUCCUGCCACCCAUGUGAGUUACUUGGAAUGAGUUCUGGGCCCCUGAGUUUGGUUUGGCUCAACCCUGGCUCUUGGGAGCAUUUGGGAAGUGAAUGAGCAGAUGGAAGAUCUAUCUGUCUCUGUAUCUUUCAUUGCCUUUCUAAUAAAUAAAAAUAAGUAACAUGGGCAACAAAAUAGUUUAAAAAAAUAAUAAAAACAUUUUCUAAAAAAGAUGAUAGCAAAGAGAGUUUGAAAGUAGGCCAGGAUGGCCGGCACCGUGGCUCACUAGGCUAAUCCUCCGCCUGCGGCGCCAGCACACCGGGUUCUAGUCCCCGUCAGGGUGCCGGAUUCUGUCCCGGUUGCCCCUCUUCCAGGCCAGCUCUCUGCUGUGGCCAGGGAGUGCAGUGGAGGAUGGCCCAGGUGCUUGGGCUCUGCACCCCAUGGGAGACCAAGAGAAGCACCUGGCUCCUGCCUUCGGAUCAGCGUGGUGCGCCGGCCGCAGUGCGCCAGCCAUGGCAGCCAUUGGAGGGUGAACCAACAGCAAAAAAGAAAACCUUUCUCUGUCUCUCUCUCUCACUAUCCACUCUGCCUGUCAAAAAAAAAAAAAAAAAAAAAAAAAAGUAGGCCAGGUUACUGUGUUUAGUGUAGAUGUUUGGAAACAUGAUCUACCGCCCGCCCCAGGCUAUUUAUAGGUCCUGAAUAUCAUAUGGAAAUUGUUCUAUUUUGUAUAUAGACUACAAUGUUUUUCAAAAGCAGAUAGGGUAUAAAAAUAAACAAAUAUGAGUUGGUAUAAAUAAAACAUAAAGGUAAUGUCUCUUUAAUUAAAUAAAAUUGUCAAAUUCUUCUUUCUUUUUCUUAUCUUGAAAUAUGUGUUACGACUGAGCAGAGUAAUUUGCUUUGCACUUAGCUGACACCGGUGUUCAUCUUAUUUUGAAGUGGUAAAUGUGUAUUGAUGCAGAUGCAUGUUUUUUUUUCCCCCUAAUAUUGGCAAUGAACAACUGAUUGAUUGAAACACUAAAUUCAUCUAUGACCUUUGAUAGGCAAAUCUCACAACAGGGAAAUUUAUAGUAAUUAAUUUUAUGUUUUCCUUUUUUCUUUUAAAUAUUUAUUUAUUUAUUUGAAACCGAAGAGCUGGAGAGAGAGAGAAAGAGAAAGAGAGAGAGAGAGAGAGAGAAUCUUCAUCCACUGGUUCAUUCCCCAGAUGGCUGAAUGCUCAGCACUGGGCCAGGACAAGGCCAGGAGCCAGGAGCUUCUUCACCACCUCCCAUGUGUGUGGCAGGUGCCCAAAUACUUGGGCCAUUUUCCAUUGCUGUCCUCAGGCCAUUAACAGGAAGCUGGAUCAUAAGUGGAGCAACUGGGAAGCAAACCAGUGCCCAUAUGAGAUGCUAGCAUCACAGGCAGGAGCUUUACCAGAUCUCCCAAAAUGCUGGACUCUAGUUCUUUAUUUUCCAUGUAAUUUCUUAUAUAAAACAGAAAAGUUGAAUUUCAUGUAUUAAUAUUUAUUGACUAUUACUUCGAAAUAUAUAGUGAUAUAUAUUUCCAAAUAAUUAAAAGUUCUGUGAUAAUCAUUUCCAAAAUGAAUAAUUCUAGUUAGUGAUUGUGAUUUAUGGACAUAGACACUUUAGAUAGAGUGCCCAAGCUACUGGAACCCACAAAGCCUCUUUUUUUAGUUUUAUAAGAUCAUUUGACCCUUAUUGAACAAACUACUAAUAAUUUUAAGUCAGAUACUUUGUGUAAAAGGAGUUGAUACAAAUGUCACCAGGGGUUUUUAUGCACUGCUCUUGAAUCUAUCAAAAUAUUAGUUUAUAGAUUAAAAAAGCAAACAUGUUUUAGGAAAAUAUCUCUUCCUCUGUGUGUCUCUCUGUGUGUGUAGAUAUGAAUUAUAUAUACAUAUAUAUGCAUAUAUAUGAUAUACUUUGACAUAAAACAUUUCUCAUUUUAUUUUUUCAAUAAGCCAAGGAAAGCUGUGCAAUAUAUGGGGUAUGAUUUUCUCGAGUGAUUGAUGUUUUAGAUAGCCCAGUAUUACCAUAGCCAGGAAAUUCUGGCCAAUUAAGGAGGAAAAUAGAGAACCAUCAAUCAAAUCAAAAUUGACAACCACCUCACCUCCUCCAUUAAAAAGCAUAGUUACACAAAUCAUAUUCGUCCAUCUAGUCUCUUUUUGAAAGGUAUCAUCACGUCCUAUGAUUUUCUUUCCUGUACAUACCAUGAUACAUAAUGCAUGGUAGAAAAGAGUACAUCGUAAGUUGCCUUCAAAAAACAAGAUGUAUUUUAAUGAAUGUACUUAACCUAGACCUGUGAGGAAAUGGAACAGCUGAAAUUCUGUUAUCCUCUUCUCUAUGACCUGAGUGUGUGGAUACUUAUCCAGGAUGUUGGACUAUUAUCUUGUGUUGGAUUCAAAACAAAGCCUACACAUUGAUUCUUUUGCUUGAAGCUGUGCCCUGUAAUGUCUUCUUCUAGGUAAAUUUUAUUAAUUGAUCACUCAAAAUAGUUAUAAAAGCCUACUUUCAGCUGAUAAAUUUUCAUAGUGAAAUAUUAUUUAAUCAGAAAACAGCACAGGAUACUAGAGAAUACAAUAUGAUGCCAGAAAUAGUGUUCUAGUCCCAGUCAGGGUGCCGGAUUCUUUCCCGGUUGCCCAUCUUCCAGGCCAGCUCUCUGCUGUGGCCAGGGAGUGCAGUGGAGAUGGCCCAAGUCCUUGGACCCCGCACCCACAUGGGAGACCAGGAGGAAGCAGCUGGCUCCUGCCUUCGGAUCAGCGUGGUGCGCCAGCCGCCGCGGCGGCCAUUGGAGGGUGAACCAAUGGCAAAAGGAAGACCUUUCUCUCUGUCUCUCUCUCUCACUGUCCACUCUGCCUGUCAAAAAAUAAAAUAAAAUAAAAUAAAAUAAAAUAAAAUAAAAUAAAAUAAAUAAAAUGCCAGAUUACAUCAGGGGAUUAAAUAAUGGUCUUUAUAUAUGAAGAAGUUUAAUACUUUCAGAAACUAUGAUAGAAACUUAAGAUUUGGAGUUUUAGAGUCAAUACUGCUAGUUACAAUCUAGGAAGUGAUGUGUGUUCUUCUUGAUGAUGAGCUAGCUGGAGUUAACUAUACUCUCUUGUUUAUUCUGUAUAUUCCAUUUCCAUACAUAUAUUAUGUUCAAUGUUCUACAUCACACUGUAUGAAAAGUCUUCAAAAAAGUUCAUGGAAAAAUGGAAUUAAAAGAUGUUUAUUUUAGCACAAAAAUGUUUAAAUCCAUAUUUAAUUUCCCUCAAAUAUACAUUUAAGGUUUUAGAAGUCCCUUCAUAUUUGGUAUUCUAACUCAUUUUCCACUCUUCAAGAUCAGAAUAAACCAUCUGUUGCCCUGAAAUCUUUCUUCUGCCAGGGUCUUACGAAUCAUUAAAGACGAUUACUGUAUUUUCUGACACUUCUUAACAAGUAAAAUAUUAUCCAGUAAAAUAUUUUCCUUUUGUAUCUUUUAUGAUUUCCUGCAAUACCAAAAUGCUAGAUUCUAUGUACUAGAUGUGCAUUCAAAUGGAAAAACCAAAGGAUUGCCUUCAGAAUUUUAAGGCCAUGCAUGCAGCACUGACUCUUCAUUUGAUAUUUGCAAAGCACUUUGACAAUAAAUGCAUUUCAUGUUAUUUCUAAACUUCUCAUUUAAUGAUUUUUCUGAAGAGAAUUGUGGAUAAAAGGGCAAGUAAAUGUUAAAAAUGUAUGCAUACUUUACAAAUUCUUGGAGAGAAGAAUGAAUCAGCAUCCUAGCUUCAUGAAGUCACAACUGACACAGUAAGUCAGACCUGUGAUUAUAUGACAGUACUUCAAAAUGUUCUUGGAAAAAUUGAACUAAAUAUAAGGUUAUUUGGGUACAAUUUUUUUGAAAUACAUAUAUAUGAUGAUUCUCCAAAGUGUUUAUGGCCAAUUCAUAUCAUGGAAAAUUUAUGCAUGGAUUUCAAAUUUUUUUUCAGUAAAACGAACUUUAUUUUCAAUUCCUUGUUCCAUGAACUUCUUGAAAUACCUUCUUCCCUGCAAGAAAAAAUAUAUAAAGAGAUAAUAUGGGAGGUACUUAAAAUAAAAAUUAAUAAUAAUGUUUAGGAUUAUACAGUUGCCCAUCCAGGAAAAAUUUAUCUGACAUAUGUCCAAUGUAACAUGGCCUGAUAGGUUCUGAAAAAAAUAUAAAUCAGGUAUUUUAAAAAGGAAUCCAGCUUUUUCUGACUGAGGCUCCACUUCUAAUUCUGACAAAUGCAAAUUUCAAAAUCAUUGCUUAGCUCUUUGUCUACAUCUAUGUCUAUGUCCUUUAUCAAUUGCACUCCAACUACAUAUCUUCCUAGUUGUUUGCUUUCUCAUUUACAAUUAGUUAAAUGAGAAAAACACACAUUUCAGUAUUCACUGAUGCCACUCACAUCUAUUUCUCAGUCUGGCAAAAAUUCCUGAGGCAUAGGCUGCAACCUAAGGCUCUUUCUGCCCUAUUUUCCCUCCUUCUCCUUAUUCGUAGAGGUCAAUCCUGACUCUAACCAAAAGACUCUGUGCCUACUCUUGCUCUCCUCCUUUAUGCUUCACAGACAUUUCCUUCAUUAAAUCCCUUGCAGGAUUAAUUCUGUUUUGGUACCGGCUUCCUAAAAGAACCCAAACAAACCCAAUUGCCAUCCUGAAAAGUGAACAAACAGUAUUUUUUUUUAAAGUACAUAGACAUCAGAUAAAUAAUCAUUGCUGUAUUUGCUACUCCACCUUUCUAAAAGCAUAAAAACAUUCUAUAGUCUCAAUCAUUUUUAAAUCUUCUUCCUUAACUCUAUGAAUAGGUGCACAUAACAGUUUUUCCAUUCAUAGUCAAAUUGUAAAGAUCCAUUCUAACUUGUCUCCAGUUCAGUGUUACGACCAUAUACGUAGGGACAGUUACCAGGUUGUGAUUGUGCAAUAUUAGCAGAAAGGGAAAGAAGUAUACUCCAGAAAGCUGUGCAUAAAUCUACCUGUUACCAAACUGGGUGGAGAGCAGAGAUUAGAGAUCUAGAAGCUGGACUUGAUUAGUGCUUGUUGCUCACCUCCACUGAAGUACUUUUCACACAUUCAAUUGAGUUUGUCAGGCAUUUGUAUCUUCUUCCCAAUAGACUGGGUAUUUCUAGAGGACACAUUGUAUCUUAUGUCUAUAGUUUUGGAUUCUAAUACAGUUAUAAAGAGCUCAAUUAAUGUCAGUUAUAAGAGUGUAAAAAGACUGAAAUGGAAAGAGAGAAAAAAAAAGGGCAAAGACUGAAGGGAAAUGGUAAGUUGCACUAUGAGAAGAAGGCAUGGAAAUUUUUUAAAAAUGUAAGAAAAUUAGAUCUAAAGGGGAUAGAAUAAAGGCAGAGAAUUUUUUUAAGUGAAAGAG
Non-coding RNA from Oryctolagus cuniculus (rabbit), 39566 nucleotides. Lineage: Eukaryota; Metazoa; Chordata; Mammalia; Lagomorpha; Leporidae. The record is from RefSeq and is a predicted model, not a curated record.